UAUUUCACGAAGACAGUUUGGCUAUGUGUGUGUGAGUGCACACGUAUACAUUGUUAUUAUGUGCGUGACGCUGUUUCCAUCGCGACGCGGUUUAUGGCUGAGAUUUAUAGAGCGCACUUAAGACACUGUUAAAACGAGACAGCGUUAUACCGCUGGCAUAAAUCUGUCUCGUUUUAACUGACACUUAAGUCAAAGUGUGCUCUAUAGAUUUCAACCUACGUUACGCACACAAACGCGUUAACGCUUAUCGGUACACACACUACAACAAAGGCAGAGCGGCCAUCGUGAAAUAUAACACUAAGUAUAUCUUAUUCUAAUUUCAUGUGGAUGUAAAAAAAAAAAACUCGUGUAGACAUAUUUUUCUAUAAUUCUCUAUAUUAUUUGGUACACAACUGGGUCGCGAUGUCCAACCGUACGCGGUGAUUUGGGCGGUCGUUCAAUCAACGACAUUACACUAGACUCCUUAAAUAAUCUACAUACAUUUGUAUAGCUGCGGCUCACCGGUACGCUUGCACAACCGACUGUUUACUUGUUCGCUAUAACAUCCAAAACUAAACACACCGGCUCUAUAUACCACGGUUUGAAGACAUACAUUCGGCCAAUGCAGACAUCUAUACAGAGUAAUAAGACGCGGUAGGGCUAUUUAAAAGCCAAACAAAUUUUAAAAGCCUCGUAGUCUUUUAAAUGUAAUCCCAUCCUCGUAUACAGCAUUGUGAAAAGGACAGCAAUAUAGAUAUUAAUCUUACUUAGAAUACUAUGCUCUUCUGCCAUUGGCUAAAAACAUUGUUGUAGCACUAACCCAUCAAUCAAUCAAUCAAUCAAUUCAACCCAGCCAAUAAUAACUGAGAUGAGUGCAUAGUGAUGAAAAUAAGUUUAGUGGUUCAUUUUAGUUUGCUAAAAAGGUAAACAAGUAUGCACUAUACGCGGCCUAUACACUUUUGUUACUGGAAACUGAAAAUGAAAUCUACUUAACUUCAGAAGGUCUAAAGCGCCGGGAAAAUCACGUCGCUUACGGCUUUCUCCAAGAACGUUAUUGCGAUUUGUUUAUAUUUUAAGCAAACUAAGGAAAACUAAAGUAUAAGAGGUUGAACACACUUUCAAUGAAAAUUCUAACACAGUACAGUCUUAAAAGUGAGUUGAAAUUGAGAGUUCCAGGAGUGAAUACGUUUUGGAUGUUUUAGCGAACAAGGUUCCUUAACUAACUGUACAGACAUUCAUACCGUUGGAAUAUUUAACAUCAGAUCAGAGACGACAUUGAGACAACGGUGUUGGGAGGAUUUUUAGACUAUUAACAGACGAUCCAAUUUGGUUGGACGCUAAGACCCGACCACGACUAUAAUAUAAUGCUAAUAAUAUAUUUUUAACAGACAUAGCUAU
Molecule: long non-coding RNA, 1377 nt
Organism: Maniola jurtina (meadow brown)
Lineage: Eukaryota; Metazoa; Arthropoda; Insecta; Lepidoptera; Nymphalidae
Exons: 3
Source: RefSeq, a predicted model, not a curated record